CCCAAUGAAGAGAUAGGAGGCGUGAAUAGAGGGGAGGGGAGUGAGAGUAGAAAUUGAAUUGUGUGUUUGUCAGUUGGAAACUGGAAGCCUGUCUUCAUUUCCUAAUAAAUUAUAGAUUUCCAUUUUCAACAGUUUCCUUCAAUGCAUCUCUCCUCCAUAACUGAAUCUGUGAUAAACUUUCAAUAAAAAUUUGAUAACAAAAAUCAAAAUACACAAUAAAACUGUAUAGCAGUUAUAAGUGAUGUUUAUUCCUUUACAUUUUAAAGUAUUAAUGCAGCAUAGUUUCCCCAAAAUUCUGCAUUUCUAUCAACUUCUUGUCUCACAAAAUUGUUUUCUGAAAGCUCUGAUUCUGCUUGUGUAUUUUUUGCUUUUCUGCUUUGCUUUUCACCAACAAGUUUAUUACACCACUAGGUCGACAGAGCGCAAGUGGGUCAAUGACUAGCUCCACCUCCCUUUCACUAGAAAUAAUCAGGAAAACACUUUUAUUGAAUCUCUGAGCAUUUAAAUCUG
RNAcentral lists this long non-coding RNA (510 nucleotides) under Bos taurus (domestic cattle). RNAcentral describes it as "long non-coding RNA NONBTAT011653". The record is from RNAcentral. Lineage: Eukaryota; Metazoa; Chordata; Mammalia; Artiodactyla; Bovidae.